AUGUUGUGCGACAACCUUAAGGCCACCUUGGUCACCCUCCCAAAUAACACCUCCUCCUCCCCGGUACGCUUCGCCACUGCCGCCUUCGGCCGAGCCCCCGACAUCGUCUACGCAUUCACGAUCUGCCGCGGCGACAUCGUCGGCGUCAUCUCCAACCAGUCCUACUGCCGCGAGUGCGUCAGCAACAUGACUGACAAGGUGUUGAACGCUGCGCCGCAGCAGUGCUACAACGGCACCUACCACGACUAUGGUGACCGCUGUAUCCUCGUCUACUCCACAGACGACAUCAUCGCGCCGCCGUCUGGCGAAAACGGCGGUGAUGACACGCCAGUCGAGAGAUGGAACGACAAGAACGUCACCGGCGAUGCGGAUGAGGUCCGCCUCAUCACCGGCCUCAUCCGUGAGCUUCUGGUGCAGACGGUGGAGAAGGCGGCCAGCGCGGCACCGAUGCGAUUUGCCACAUGCAUCAUGGACAGCGGCACGACCUUCCCGAUGGUGCGCUCCUUGGCGCAGUGCAGACCAGACGCAUCCACCGUCGACUACUUGGCGUGCCUGCGUCGUCUCCUCGGCGUGGUCAACGCCACCAUGUCCCUACGCAUGGGAGCACAGAUCAACGCCAUACGGUGUUAUUUCAGGUACGAGGUGUAUCGGUUCUAUGGCGGUGAAGCGACGCUGCGCCUCACGCCACCGCCGGCGCCGUCGCUAGCUCCGACUCCGGCAAAACGCAAGAGGAGUAUGAGCAAACUGUGGGCAAUUCCCAUAGUUAUAGUUCCUAUAGUGGCAGCAGCAUUUCUGUGCUUCAUCUUUUGCUCCCGUCGGAUUACAAGGAAAAGAAGAGAGAUUAAUUCAGAGUUCUCAACCAUAUACUACUCAAACUUAGGUAAAGCGGGAGAGGAAGAACUAGGAUGGCAAGGGAAGUAUUCAGAGUUCUCCAUGUUUGAGUUUGAACAGGUACUAGUGGCCACAAAUAAUUUUUCAGAAGAAAACAAACUUGGAGAAUGUGGCUUUGGCACUGUCUACAAGGGCCAGUUACCCGAGGGAUCAGAGAUAGCACUUAAGAGACUUGCUCCACAUUCGGGUCAAGGUUUCACAGAGUUCAAAAAUGAAGUCCAGCUCAUAGCCAAACUAAAGCAUAGGAAUUUGGUUAGGCUCUUAGGUUGUUGCUCUCAUGAAGACGAGAAAAUAUUGGUCUAUGAAUAUUUGUCAAACAAAAGCUUGGCUUCCUUCAUCUUUGAUGAAAAUAAAAGAGCUUUGCUAGAUUGGUCCACACUUUUAGCAAUAAUUCAAGGAAUAGCUCAUGGACUUCUUUACCUACAUAAGCACUCCCAAUUGCGCGUCAUACAUCGAGAUCUUAAACCGAGCAACAUUCUCUUGGAUAGCGAAAUGAAUCCAAAAAUUUCAGACUUUGGGCUAGCAAAAAUAUUCAACUCAAAUAGC
This 1437-nucleotide ribosomal RNA is filed under the name Triticum aestivum (bread wheat). Its description in RNAcentral is "partial small subunit ribosomal RNA". Lineage: Eukaryota; Viridiplantae; Streptophyta; Magnoliopsida; Poales; Poaceae. The record is from RNAcentral.